UUCUCCUUUCUAGCCUCAGAUAGGAGAAAGUAUGCUAUUGUGCAUGACUUGAUCCUAAGUUAAAAUAAUAUUUAUUUGGGUGGGCCUGCCAUACAGGAAACGUUAAGAUACUGAAAACUGUGCAGUGGAAACAACAUGAAUUGUACAACUAAAGGAUGUUAUGUGGUGUGGUCACCAGCCACGAGGCUGCCUGUCCUCAUCAGCCUGGAUAAGAGCUGCUUUUUGACAUGUUAUACUAUGACGUCGAAAGACAUUACUGGUGUUGUUAGAAGACAAAGCAAGGGAAGGACUCAUGGACAGAAAUUCAUAUUCAUCUUAAGAAUGACGGUAAACACAGAAUGACUACUGAAUAAUCAAAUUGGAAAUCUCUGUACGCUGGCCUACAGAAAUAAUUUUGUGCUUGCAGAUGAGUCUGGCUAGAUUUUCCCUUUAGUUGCAUAUGCUUAUUCCUAAGUACAAAAUUG
Long non-coding RNA from Mirounga angustirostris (Northern elephant seal), 464 nucleotides. RefSeq lists it as uncharacterized. The transcript is spliced from 3 exons. The record is from RefSeq and is a predicted model, not a curated record. Lineage: Eukaryota; Metazoa; Chordata; Mammalia; Carnivora; Phocidae.